GUGACAGUGGCAGUGUUGGUGGAAGCGGCGGUGGAGGAGGAGGAUGAGGUAGCCAACACUGGUUUUUAUAUAUAUAUUUUUUAACUGGGGUAGCCCCCAAAAUAUUGGGACAUAUAAAAAAAGACAACUCUGUUCUGCAGAGUAGCUGUUGACAUUAUAGUUGCGCAGGCACUUUGUUGACUCUAGAGAACCUCGGGACAAUCGCACAUCCCUGUGAUGGCGACUUUGCAUUCGGAUGUCAUCCAUAUCAACUUUCGAUGCCAGUUUCUGCGCCUACCAUGGUGACCACGUGUAAUGGGGAAUCAGGGCUCCAUUCCAUACAGGGACCCUGAGAAACGGGACCCUGAGAAAUGCAAGGAAGGCA
Molecule: ribosomal RNA, 364 nt
Filed under: Pelobates cultripes (western spadefoot toad)
Lineage: Eukaryota; Metazoa; Chordata; Amphibia; Anura; Pelobatidae
Description: SSU_rRNA_eukarya
Rfam family: Eukaryotic small subunit ribosomal RNA
Source: RNAcentral